UAGGGAAUCUUCCGCAAUGGACGAAAGUCUGACGGAGCAACGCCGCGUGAGUGAUGAAGGCUUUCGGGUCGUAAAACUCUGUUGUUAGGGAAGAACAAGUGCUAGUUGAAUAAGCUGGCACCUUGACGGUACCUAACCAGAAAGCCACGGCUAACUACGUGCCAGCAGCCGCGGUAAUACGUAGGUGGCAAGCGUUAUCCGGAAUUAUUGGGCGUAAAGCGCGCGCAGGUGGUUUCUUAAGUCUGAUGUGAAAGCCCACGGCUCAACCGUGGAGGGUCAUUGGAAACUGGGAGACUUGAGUGCAGAAGAGGAAAGUGGAAUUCCAUGUGUAGCGGUGAAAUGCGUUAGAGAUAUGGAGGAACACCAGUGGCGAAGGCGACUUUCUGGUCUGUAACUGACACUGA
RNAcentral lists this ribosomal RNA (404 nucleotides) under uncultured Bacillus sp. RNAcentral describes it as "bacterial SSU rRNA". It matches the Rfam family "Bacterial small subunit ribosomal RNA", at positions 355 to 749 of the family's 1533-position model. The record is from RNAcentral. Lineage: Bacteria; Bacillati; Bacillota; Bacilli; Caryophanales; Bacillaceae.